GGCAGUCUUCCAGUGCUCAAAUCACUGCUUCCACCUUGGCAGACGCAGAUUUAGAGAAUUUCUGAGAUGUCCUAGCACAGAGAGAAGAAGACCCAAAAGUCGCAGCUGGAAAGAAGAUCCUAGAGGGACAUCACCCCUGAAGGACAGUGAUCUCUGCUUUUCACCAGCUGUCAGCACUGCUGAUCCAUGUGGGCUAGGCAGGGCAAUGCUGCCUUCUUCAUGUAAAUCAGAAGAGCAAGGAAAGCUAAUUGCCAGGUGCAGCUCUUGGUGAGAUG
This 275-nucleotide long non-coding RNA is filed under the name Parus major (Great Tit). RNAcentral's name for it is "lncRNA (ENSPMJG00000014589.1)". Lineage: Eukaryota; Metazoa; Chordata; Aves; Passeriformes; Paridae. The record is from RNAcentral.